GCGUUAUGCACGCGAGCCACUCGUCUCGCCAUUACUUCCGCAUCACGUGACCUUUGUGUCCGGCUGGACUCUUGCUCAAAAUCAACACAGCAAAUAUGCGAGCCGCUCCCGAGGAACUAACCACGCUCAUUUCAGACCUUGAGACCUUCCUCAGAGAUGGCUUGAAAGGGGAAAAUCUGAGCAAAAAGGCAAAAGAUAAGAGAGAAGCAUUCAUUAAACGGAUUAAAGAGGUCAAAUUGGGCUUUCCACAUGAUUUCAAGGAAAAAAGUGGAGAGGAGUCAAGUGACGAUGAGGAGGAGGUGGACAGCAGCAACAAUGACGGUGGCUCACUGCAGUCUGAGCGCACUGACAGGGAGGAAGAGCCCUAUGAGGGUUCCCACCAGUGUCCACCAAUGGCAGCGCAAGACCUGCAGUCUAUUCUCAUGUCAGGAUACCUGGAGAAACGCAGGAAGGACCACAGUUUUUUUGGCCAGGAGUGGCAGAAGAGAUGGUGCGCUCUUAGCUAUCGGACCUUCUACUAUUAUGGCCACGAGAAAGACAAACAGCAGAAAGGUGAGUUCAGCAUCGAUGGCUACAAUGUCAAAAUGAACACCAACUUACGGAAAGACGCAAAGAAGGACUUUUGUUUUGAAGUCUCAGCUCCUGACAAGCGAGACUAUCAGUUUUGUGCGUCAUCGGCGAAAGAGGCGAAGGAGUGGGUGAAAUGGAUAGACCUUGUUUUGAAAGAUCAGUCUGGUAUCAUCCAAGAAGAAGAAGAAGAGGAGGAAGAGGUGGUUAAGGAGGAGGAGGAGGAACAGCUAAUGUACGAUGAUGUGGGACUUGCACCGGAUACAGACAUCUAUGAAGUGCUCCCAGACACAAACACCGACUACCAGAACUACUACCAGGGCUUAUGGGACUGUGUAGGGGACCACCCGGAUGAACUCUCUUUCAAGCGUGGAGACACCAUUUAUAUACUGAGCAAGGAGUACCAGAGCUAUGGUUGGUGGGUUGGAGAGAAAAAUGGAAAUAUCGGAAUUGUGCCCAGAGACUACUUACUGGAGCUCUAUGCUUUAUAAGUACAUCCCUGCACACGUUGACGCCUCCCCGCUCCUACUGACCUCACAUUCUAGUCACACACAAAGCCGUCUGCAGUAGCUUGAGUUCCAAGGACCGUUAACUCAUCUCGGCUGCCCCGUCAUGCUGAUUUUUGCAGCCCGCUGCAAGUCAAAGUACAUGACUGCAAGUUGGAGAUGACCACACCUUCCGACAGCUGAUGUCACAUCAUUGUUUUGAGACGUUAUCAAUGGUGCCUCUGCUAGUCAAGAAGUGCGGUGGUUCGCAAACUGGAGGGAGAGUACCUUAAGUGGCAGACAGCCUCCCGCUAGUGUUACAUGGUAGAAUCACUGAAUUAACUGUUCAAACCGUGAAUGUUUCAGUGGCUUCAACUUUUGUUUUUUAUUUUAAUCCAGUAGGGUAUAUUUGUUAAGUACAGUUCGGUUGUAUUUAAUUUUUAAGCACAAAACACUGGAAUUGAAUCUUUUACAACUGUUUGUUUUCAAGCAUUUAGCUGCAAUUUUUAUUGAACCUUUGCGUGGAAUACAUUUUUAUUGAUUCAUUAUUCCAGUACAGUUUUUUUCUCCUUUAUUGAAGCACCAUAUUCAUUUAAAAACUGGCCAUAAUGUUGCAGUGGGUUACAAUAAUAAGAAAAAAAAAACCUUUUGUUUUUGAGGAACACUUAGGCCUACUAUGCUAUUGUAUUUUAAUGUUGGCCGAUAUGGUGGUACUUAAAGAGCUUCGUAUUUUUGAGGUGGUACCUGGUGUAAAACGAUCUACUCAACUACCGUUUGCUUUAAACACUCAAAA
RNA transcript from Hippocampus comes (tiger tail seahorse), 1845 nucleotides. It is a transcript of the gene named src kinase associated phosphoprotein 2, with no coding region annotated. The record is from RefSeq and is a predicted model, not a curated record. The transcript is spliced from 14 exons. Lineage: Eukaryota; Metazoa; Chordata; Actinopteri; Syngnathiformes; Syngnathidae.